Non-coding RNA from Paramacrobiotus metropolitanus, 72 nucleotides. The record is from the annotation of a RefSeq genome assembly. Lineage: Eukaryota; Metazoa; Tardigrada; Eutardigrada; Parachela; Macrobiotidae.
GCCCCAUUGGCUCAGUGGUAGAGCAUUAGUCUCGUAAACUAAGGGUCCUGGGUUCAAUUCCCAGAUGGGGCU